Molecule: ribosomal RNA, 327 nt
Filed under: uncultured eukaryote
Lineage: Eukaryota
Description: partial 18S ribosomal RNA
Rfam family: Eukaryotic small subunit ribosomal RNA
Source: RNAcentral
CCCUUAGAUGUCCGGGGCCGCACGCGCGCUACACUGAAGGAAUCAGCGUGGCUUUCUCCCUGACCCGAAAGGGUUGGGAAACCCGUUGAAUCUCCUUCGUGAUAGGGAUUGGGGCUUGAAAUUGUUCCCCAUGAACGAGGAAUUCCCAGUAAGCGCGAGUCAUAAGCUCGCGUUGAUUACGUCCCUGCCCUUUGUACACACCGCCCGUCGCUACUACCGAUUGAGUGAUCCGGUGAAUAAUUCGGACUGCAGCAAUGUUUGGAUCCCGAACGUUGCAGCGGAAAGUUUAGUGAACCUUAUCACUUAGAGGAAGGAGAAGUCGUAACA